GAUGAACGCUGGCGGCGUGCCUAAUACAUGCAAGUCGAGCGAACGGACGAGAAUCUUGUUUCUCUGAUGUUAGCGGCGGACGGGUGAGUAACACGUGGAUAACCUCCCUAUAAGACUGGGAUAACUUCGGGACACCGGAGCUAAUACCGGAUAAAAUUUUGAACCGAAUGGUUCAAAAGCGAAAGACUGUCUUGCUGUCACUUAAAGAUGGUUCCGCGCUGCUUUAGCUAGUUGGUAAGGUAACGGUUUACCAAGGCAACGAUGCAUAGACGACCUGAGAGGGGGAUCGGCCACAGUGGAAGUGAGACACGGGCCAGACUCCUACGGGAGGACGCAGUAGGGAAUCUUCGGCAAUGGGCGAAAGCCUGAUGGAGCAACGCCGCGUGAGUGAUGAAGGUCUUGGGAUCGUAAAACUCUGUUAUUAGGGAAGAACAUAUGUGUAAGUAACUGUACACAUAUUGACGGUACCUAAUCAGAAAGCCACGGCUAACUACGUG
This 497-nucleotide ribosomal RNA is filed under the name uncultured bacterium. RNAcentral describes it as "partial 16S ribosomal RNA". It matches the Rfam family "Bacterial small subunit ribosomal RNA", at positions 28 to 507 of the family's 1533-position model. The record is from RNAcentral.